Molecule: long non-coding RNA, 3012 nt
Filed under: Pan troglodytes (chimpanzee)
Lineage: Eukaryota; Metazoa; Chordata; Mammalia; Primates; Hominidae
Description: long non-coding RNA NONPTRT017851
Source: RNAcentral
GCACACACCCAGGCAGCACUGUAAGAAGUACCUCUAGGCCUGGGAGGCAUUGAGAAAAAGGAAGUGGGUCCUGUUCUGGUUCUUGCUACUGUAGUCACCGCCCGAGGCAAAUGACCACUGUCCUGAGAGGACGUGGAUGAGGGCAGGAUAUGCAUUGAGGACUCUUCAUCUAAUAGCCCUGACCCACGCAGAACCUGCUCCCAAGAAUCAAGCUCAGGCUUUUUGGCCACUCAGGUUCCAAGAAAAGCAGCCUUAUGGACUCUCUCAAGUGUGGGCUGCUGAGGAGCUUUCUCAAAAGCCUUUGGAGACAAGCUGAAGAACCCACUCCAAGUUGUCCUGCUGGCUUCCAUGCGGACAUCAUGAAUGUUCCUGAACCAGCUGGAGGCGAGUUUGGAUAUGACAGAGAUACAUCAUUGCUGAAAGAGAUCAGGAGUAGGUACUUGCAUUGCCACACAAACUGUCCUUGGAGCUGCUGUUGCUGAUACAGAUGCAGUGGUAGUUGGAAACCUGCAUGAAGCAUCGUGACCAGGGGAAGUGAUAUUCACGACUCUAGCUACACUUUUCUCUGUUCUGGAGAAGUUUACGGGGGAUGAAUUUUUUCUAUCACAAACAGAGGAUGCUGCUUUCAGGAGACUUUCUGCCGACAGUGACACUUGUUCCAAUGAUUUUUUAUCAGUAGCUCCUGCUAAAUUUUCAUUACAGAUUUCACUUCUGUCAUCAUCUGUGACCACUAUGUUUUUGGGCAUAUCCUUAAACUGAUAUACAAGCCUCUGUCCUUCAACCUUUGCAAGACUUCCCUUUUGGUAGCUUUGCAAUAAUUCCCCUUUGGUAAUAGAAUCUCAAAGCUCAUUCCAUAGUUUCAUAGUUCAUGUUUGGUUUGUUCUUAUACUUUCCCCAAAACUUGGAGGCAGCCUUUGAAUCCACCAGCCUGAAUAUGCCUUUUUCUCUCUGAAUCCAUUUAAUAUAGAGAGGACAAAUAUUUUUAUCUUUAAGUAGAUCUAAAAGAAACUCCCACAAAUAUAUUAUGUUUCCUUUUCCUUCUCUCAUCUUUUUUUUUAUACCUGACUCAGGAGACCCACUGGAAAUUGGUGAUUGUUGGGUCUUUGGUUUACAGCCAAUUUUUUUCCUUUUCAUUGGUUCAUGGCUAUCUGGUGAUGUAGGAAUAGGAGAGGUAUCCAUUGGUUCAGACCCCUCAGUUGACACCUCCACUACAGUUUCUGUAAUGAUAUCUGGCCUCAUAGCAACAUGGAUAAAUUCAGGACUUCUUGAAUCCCUCAAGUAGGUGGGAGAUUUCAUAGGAAGCAGGGCUUCAGCAGCUUCAAUUCUCUUUUGGAGUCAUGUUCAAAAUAAUCUUGCUCAGGCCAAUGUCUUAAAGCAUUUCUGCUGUUUUCCUCUAGUAGUUUCAUAUUUUGGGGUCUUAUAUUUGUGUCUUUAAUCCAUUUGAGUUUAUUUUUCUAUCUGGUGAAGGAUAGAAAUCCAGUUUCAUUCUGUGUGUGCACAUCCCGUUUUCCAAGCACCAUUUGUUGAAGAGUCUGUCCUGUUUGCAAUGUGUGCUCUUGGCACUUUGCCAAAAAUCAGUUGGCUGUAGAUGCAUGGAGUUAUUUCUGGGCUUUCUGUUCUGUCCCUUUGGUCUAUUUGUCUUUCUUUAUGCUAAUGCCAUCCUGUUUAGGUUAUUAUAACUUUGUAGUGUAUUGUGUAUUUUGAAGUCAGGCAGUAUGAUGUUUGGAGCUUACUUUCUUUUUCUUCUUCUCCAGACUGCUUUGUCUAUUUGGGGUCUUUUUUGGUUCCAUAUGAGUUUUAGGAUUGUUUUUCCUAUCUCUGUGAAGAGUGUCACUGGUAUUUUGAUAGAGAUUUCAUUGAAUCUAUAGAUAGCUUUGGUUAGGACUGGCGUCUUAAAAAUAUUAGUUUUUCUAAUGCAAGAACACAGGAUAUCUUUCCAUUUAUUUGCAUCCGCUUAAUUUCUUUCACCAAUGUUUUAUACUUUUCAGACCAGAGAUCUUUCAGCUCCUAGUUAAAUUUAUUUUUAGGCAUCUCGUUUUUUUGUGGCUAUUUUCUAUGGAAUCUUUUUCUACAUUUUCUUUUCAGAUAGUCCAUUAUUAGUGUAUACAAGUGCUGCCGAUUUCUGUAUUUUGUCUCUGUAUCCUGCAACUUUACUGAAUUCAUUUAUCUUAACAGGUUUUUUUGGUGGAAUCUUCAGCAUUUUCUGUAUACAUGAGUAUAAAUCUAGAGAAAAGUAAACUCUCAUACACCAUUGGUGGAAAUAUAAAUUAAUAAAGCCACUAUGGAGAACAGUUAGGAGGUUCCCCAUAAAACUACAAAUAGAGCUACCGUACAAAUCAGUGAUCCCACUGCUGGGUAUAUACACAAAAGAAAGGAAAUCAGUAUAUUGAAGAGAAAUCUGCACUCCCCAGUUUACUGCAGCACUGUUCACAAUAACUAAGAUUUGGAGGAAACCCAAGUGUCCAUCAAUAGAUGAAAGGGUAAAGAAAAUGUGGUGCAUAUACACAAUGGAGUACUAUUCAGCCAUAAAAAGGAAUGAGAUUCUGUCAUUUGCAACAAUAUGGAUGGAACUGGAGGUCAUUAUGUUAAGUGCAACAAGCCAGGCACAGAAAGACAAACGUGGCAUUUUCUCACUUAUUCAUGGGAUCUAAAAAUCAAAACAAUUGAGCUGAUGGGCAUAGAGAGCAGAAGAAUGGUUGCCAGAGGCUAGGAAAGGUAGUGGGAGGGGAUUGGCAGGGGUGGGUGGGGAUAGUUAAUGGGUAUAAAAAAAUAGUUACAAAGAAUUAAUAAGACCUACUAUUUGAUAGCACAGUAGAGUGACUAUAGUCAAAAAUAAAGUAAUUGUACAUUUAAAAAUAACUUAAGAAGGAUAAUUGGAUUUUUGUAACAGAAAGGAUAAAUGCUUGAGGGAAUGGAUACCACAUUCUUCAUGAUCUGAUUAUUACGCAUUGCAUGCCUGUAUCAAAACAUCUCAUGUACCCCAUAAAUAUAUACACCUAUUAUGUACCCACA